This 491-nucleotide ribosomal RNA is filed under the name uncultured bacterium. RNAcentral describes it as "partial 16S ribosomal RNA". It matches the Rfam family "Bacterial small subunit ribosomal RNA", at positions 28 to 507 of the family's 1533-position model. The record is from RNAcentral.
GAUGAACGCUGGCUACAGGCUUAACACAUGCAAGUCGAGGGGAAACGACGGGGAAGCUUGCUUCCCCGGGCGUCGACCGGCGCACGGGUGAGUAACGCGUAUCCAACCUGCCUCUGACUGAGGGAUAACCCGUCGAAAGUCGGCCUAAUACCUCAUGGCAUCGUCUGCGGGCAUCCAACGACGAUUAAAGAUUUCAUCGGUCAGGGAUGGGGAUGCGUCUGAUUAGCUUGUUGGCGGGGUAACGGCCCACCAAGGGUACGAUCAGUAGGGGUUCUGAGAGGAAGGUCCCCCACAUGGGAACUGAGACACGGUCCAAACUCCUACGGGAGGCAGCAGUGAGGAAUAUUGGUCAAUGGGCGGGAGCCUGAACCAGCCAAGUAGCGUGCAGGAUGACGGCCCUAUGGGUUGUAAACUGCUUUUAGGCGGGGAUAAAGUGAGGGACGUGUCCUUCAUUGCAGGUACCGCAUGAAUAAGGACCGGCUAAUUCCGUG